This is a non-coding RNA of Gossypium hirsutum (cotton), 107 nucleotides long. The record is from Rfam. NCBI's taxonomy places the organism in Eukaryota, Viridiplantae, Streptophyta, Magnoliopsida, Malvales, Malvaceae.
AAACCAUGCAUAGGACAUUUCCUAAGCAAUUCCUUAAAUCUCUCCUAGGUUUCGUACAGUGUUUCAUUCUCAGAUUACUGAAAAGAUGUUAUGUCAUUUCUGAGCCU